RNAcentral lists this ribosomal RNA (790 nucleotides) under uncultured euryarchaeote. Its description in RNAcentral is "bacterial SSU rRNA". It matches the Rfam family "Archaeal small subunit ribosomal RNA", at positions 83 to 879 of the family's 1478-position model. Lineage: Archaea; Methanobacteriati; Methanobacteriota. The record is from RNAcentral.
UUACGGCUCAGUAACACGUAGCUAACCUACCCUUAAGUCGAGGAUACUCUCGGGAAACUGAGGUUAAUACUCGAUAGGAGAUGUACCCUGGAAUGAUUCAUCUCUCAAAUUCGAGCUUAAGGAUGGGGCUGCGGCGGAUUAGGUUGUUGGCGGGGUAAAAGCCCACCAAGCCGAUGAUCCGUAAGGGCUCUUAGCGGAGAGGCCCUGAGAGGGAAUCUGAGACACUAUUCCCAGCCCUACGGGGUGCAGCAGUUAGGAAUCUUCUGCAAUGCGCGCAAGCGUGACAGAUUGAGUCAGAGUGCUUUUCAUAUGAAAAGCUUUUGCCAAAUGUAAAAAGUUUGGCGAAUAAGGACUGGGUAAGACGGGUGCCAGCCGCCGCGGUAAUACCCGCGGUCCAAGUCGCAGCCAUCAUUAUUGGGUCUAAAACAUCCGUAGCUUGCUUGAUAAGUUUCUUGUGAAAUUCCAUGUCUCAAAUAUGGAGCGGGCAAGAAGUACUGUUAAGCUAGAGACUGGAAGACGUAAGAAGUACGUUUGGAGUAGCGGUAAAAUGUGUUAAUCCCAGACGGACUAACAACAGCGAAGGCAUCUUACGAGGACAGUUCUGACAGUAAGGGAUGAAGGCUAGGGGCGCGAAAGGGAUUAGAUACCCCUGUAGUCCUAGCAGUAAACACUGCACACUAAACAUUAGUACCUCCUCGAGAGGUGUUAGUGCUGAAGAGAAGUCGAAGAGUGUGCUACCUGGGAAGUAUAGUCGCAAGGCUGAAACUUAAAGGAAUUGGCGGGGGAGCAC